AGCGAACGCUGGCGGCAGGCUUAACACAUGCAAGUCGAGCGGGCGUAGCAAUACGUCAGCGGCAGACGGGUGAGUAACGCGUGGGGAACGUACCUUUUGGUUCGGAACAACUGAGGGAAACUUCAGCUAAUACCGGAUAAGCCCUUACGGGGAAAGAUUUAUCGCCGAAAGAUCGGCCCGCGUCUGAUUAGCUAGUUGGUGAGGUAACGGCUCACCAAGGCGACGAUCAGUAGCUGGUCUGAGAGGAUGAUCAGCCACAUUGGGACUGAGACACGGCCCAAACUCCUACGGGAGGCAGCAGUGGGGAAUAUUGGACAAUGGGCGAAAGCCUGAUCCAGCCAUGCCGCGUGAGUGAUGAAGGCCCUAGGGUUGUAAAGCUACUUUUGUGCGGGAAGAUAAUGACGGUACCGCAAGAAUAAGCACCGGCUAACUACGUGCCAGCAGCCGC
Molecule: ribosomal RNA, 448 nt
Filed under: uncultured bacterium
Lineage: Bacteria
Description: bacterial SSU rRNA
Rfam family: Bacterial small subunit ribosomal RNA
Source: RNAcentral